Camellia sinensis is the source of this 717-nucleotide long non-coding RNA. RefSeq lists it as uncharacterized. Lineage: Eukaryota; Viridiplantae; Streptophyta; Magnoliopsida; Ericales; Theaceae. The record is from RefSeq and is a predicted model, not a curated record.
GGAACCAAUCUGAGCCCUAGCCAUGAGAGGGCAGCCCGAUGUAUCAGCAGUCUUUCUCUCCUCUCUUCUCUCCUUGAUAUAUGGCGGUCAGGGUUCGGGUCAGGGCCCUGUCAAUUCCACCCCAACCCAAUUUUGAAAAUGCUUGUAGAGAACGCAACAUAUGCUACAAAACCUAAAUCUCACCAUUACUGGCAAUGGCAGGUCUAAGUACUUUCUCUGAAGUUUUGCAUUACUGUAACCUCCUGGGUCUCAGACUCUCAGAUGGCUUCCAGUAAUGUAUAGUUAAAAGGUGAAAGUUGUAGAUGAAGGAGCGUCAAAUGCCCCUUUCAUUACUUGUUCAUUAUAUUAAUCUUAAUCUCUUGGAUUAGUUGGUCUAGUAGACCGGAUACUAAAUUAUAAAUAAAUUAAAAAAUUGUACUAAUUCUUUGGUAGUGUGCUGUGUAGAUUUUUUUGUCUUAGCUCUUUUUUCUUGGCAAUCUAAGUGAAUUGCAUAUUGGAGUUUGGUGCAAACUUACAAUGCUUUGAACAAUGUUCCUAUACAUUUCAAUUUAAUUUCCUACACAGUUUCAAUAUGCUAACAUUUGUUCAUUUUCCUGGGAUGUUUUUUUAUUUUUUUGGAUAGCCAUUUUCCUGGGAUGUUAGACCACCCUCUUUAGUUUCUUAUUUUUUCGUUUGGGAAUAUGUUAUUUUAGUACUUUUUUGACUUUUUGAGUAAAA